GAUGAAGAACGUAGCGAAAUGCGAUACUUGGUGUGAAUUGCAGAAUCCCGUGAUCCAUCGAGUCUUUGAACGCAAGUUGCGCCCGAAGCCAUUAGGCCGAGGGCACGCCUGCCUGGGCGUCACACGUCGUUGCCCCCCCAUCUACUCCUUCGGGAUUGCGGGGGGCGGAUGAUGGCCUCCCGUGCGCCUCGCCGCGCGGUUGGCAUAAAUGCCAAGUCCUCGGCGACGCACGCCACGACAAUCGGUGGUUGCGAAACCUCGGUUGCCCGUCGUGUGCGGUCGUCGCGCAUCGAGGGCUCGAAAAAAUUGCCGGGUUCCGGCUCGGCUUUCAACGCGACCCCAGGUCAGGCGGGGUUACCCGCUGAAUUUAAGCAUAUCAAUAAGCGGAGGA
This 391-nucleotide unclassified non-coding RNA is filed under the name soil metagenome. RNAcentral describes it as "partial contains 5.8S ribosomal RNA, internal transcribed spacer 2, and large subunit ribosomal RNA". The stretch from base 1 to 122 matches the Rfam family "5.8S ribosomal RNA", at positions 35 to 154 of the family's 154-position model. The record is from RNAcentral.